UAAAGGCAUGGUCCCGACCUUACUAUCAGCUCUAACCCAACUUACACAUGCAAGUCUCCGCACCCCAGUGAGUACGCCCUUAACCCCCUCCCGGGGGUAAGGAGCAGGCAUCAGGCACAAAUAUUUAGCCCAAGACGCCCAGCCUAGCCACACCCCCAAGGGAAUUCAGCAGUGAUAAACAUUAAGCCAUAAGUGAAAACUUGACUCAGUUAGCGUUAAGAGGGCCGGUAAAACUCGUGCCAGCCACCGCGGUUAGACGAGAGGCCCUAGUUGAUAUUAUAACGGCGUAAAGGGUGGUUAAGGAUAAAUAAUAAUAAAGCCAAAUGGCCCCUUGGCCGUCAUACGCUUCUAGGUGUCCGAGGCCCUAUAUACGAAAGUAGCUUUAAUUGACCCACCUGACCCCACGAAAACUGAGAAACAAACUGGGAUUAGAUACCCCACUAUGCUCAGUCGUAAACUUAGACAUCCAACUACAAUUAGAUGUCCGCCAGGGUACUACGAGCAUUAGCUUAAAACCCAAAGGACCUGACGGUGUCUCAGAUCCCCCUAGAGGAGCCUGUUCUAGAACCGAUAACCCCCGUUUAACCUCACCACUUCUAGCCACCCCAGCCUAUAUACCGCCGUCGUCAGCUUACCCUGUGAAGGAAACAAAAGUAAGCAAAAUGGGCACAACCCAGAACGUCAGGUCGAGGUGUAGCGCAUGAAAUGGAAAGAAAUGGGCUACAUUUUCUGUAACAGAAUAUUACGAACAUGCACCAUGAAACAGUGCUUGAAGGAGGAUUUAGUAGUAAAAGGGAAAUAGAGUGUCCCUUUGAACCCGGCUCUGAGACGCGUACACACCGCCCGUCACUCUCCCCGUCAAAACGCACCAAAAUACCUAAUACAAUAGCACUGACAAGGGGAGGCAAGUCGUAACACGGUAAGUGUACCGGAAGGUGCACUUGGAUCAAACC
RNAcentral lists this non-coding RNA (953 nucleotides) under Capoeta damascina. Its description in RNAcentral is "12S rRNA". It matches the Rfam family "Bacterial small subunit ribosomal RNA". Lineage: Eukaryota; Metazoa; Chordata; Actinopteri; Cypriniformes; Cyprinidae. The record is from RNAcentral.